ACAAGUAGUCAGAGCCCGUUAAUGGGUGAUGGCGUGCCUUUUGUAGAAUGAACCGGCGAGUUACGAUUUGAUGCAAGGUUAAGCAGUAAAUGUGGAGCCGUAGCGAAAGCGAGUCUGAAUAGGGCGUUUAGUAUUUGGUCGUAGACCCGAAACCAGGUGAUCUACCCUUGGUCAGGUUGAAGUUCAGGUAACACUGAAUGGAGGACCGAACCGACUUACGUUGAAAAGUGAGCGGAUGAACUGAGGGUAGCGGAGAAAUUCCAAUCGAACCUGGAGAUAGCUGGUUCUCUCCGAAAUAGCUU
Molecule: ribosomal RNA, 302 nt
Filed under: Staphylococcus aureus
Lineage: Bacteria; Bacillati; Bacillota; Bacilli; Caryophanales; Staphylococcaceae
Description: partial 23S ribosomal RNA
Rfam family: Bacterial large subunit ribosomal RNA
Source: RNAcentral